AACGCACAUUGCGCCCGCCGGCACUCCGGCGGGCAUGCCUGUCCGAGCGUCAUUUCAACCCUCAGGACCCCCUUUCGGGGGGGACCUGGUGCUGGGGAUCAGCGGCCUCCGGGCCCCUGUCCCCCAAAUUGAGUGGCGGUCGCGCCGCAGCCUCCCCUGCGUAGUAGCACACCUCGCACCGGAGAGCGGCUCGGCCACGCCGUGAAACCCCCAAUUUUUUAAGGUUGACCUCGGAUCAGGUAGGAAUACCCGCUGAACUUAA
Molecule: unclassified non-coding RNA, 262 nt
Filed under: uncultured fungus
Lineage: Eukaryota; Fungi
Also listed under: 1 other name
Description: sequence contains ITS2
Source: RNAcentral